Molecule: long non-coding RNA, 339 nt
Organism: Cavia porcellus (domestic guinea pig)
Lineage: Eukaryota; Metazoa; Chordata; Mammalia; Rodentia; Caviidae
Exons: 3
Source: RefSeq, a predicted model, not a curated record
AGUUUGCCAAAGUAGAAGAGAAUGUCAUUGAUCUGAGAGUUUUCUUCACUUUAAUUCAGGAACAACAAGCAGCAUUGGAGACUGGAUUCUGUUCCCAGAAUCCUGUCCUCCAGCUUCUCAUACCAGCAGCCUCAAAAAUACGUUUCCUGGAAGAAGAUUUCCCUGCCAGAUUGCUGACUGACUCAGACAACCUGGGGCCACGCCGGAAAUUUACAGGAUGGCAGAGGGUGGAGACCUGCUCCAGAUGUGGCUCUGACCUCAGACUUUCCAGUUUUCAGAACUGCAAGAAAUAAUCUUCUGUUCUUAUGAAUUACUCAGUCUCAGGUAUUUUAUUUCAGC